Molecule: long non-coding RNA, 655 nt
Organism: Asparagus officinalis (garden asparagus)
Lineage: Eukaryota; Viridiplantae; Streptophyta; Magnoliopsida; Asparagales; Asparagaceae
Exons: 2
Source: RefSeq, a predicted model, not a curated record
GUUUUCCUCUCCUCUCAUCUCUCUCUCUCUCUCUCUCUCUCUCUCUUCCCCUCUCUUUCUCUCCGCCAUGGCUGCAGGACGGCGACGAGGAAACCGUCGGCGACCCAAAACCGGCCGACAACGAGAAACCCCCCUCCCAAAAACAAGGAAUGUGUAAAGAGGAGGGCUCUGAAGUCGGUGAGAAAUAAUCCUUACUGCUCAGAAGCAGCUGCAAAGGAUGCCAUUGAAUCCGUGUGGGAUAUCUGUUACAAUGAUACUUACCCUUUUGACAGAGCUCCAUAAACCUUGGCUUGGUAAUCCUCUGCUGAUUUGAAGAUAGGGGCCUUAUUUUUUCUCCAAUGAAGACAAGUUAAAGGCAUUUUAAUGGUGUAGAGUAGAAUCAAUUUAUUGGAUCUCUACACAUACCAUGCUCUUACCAAGCAAUGCUAUAAUUGUUCAUCAAGAUAUGUAAGCACCUGCAAUAUCUUUAUUUCCGAGCAUAUCUAAGAACGAUGAUGCUUGGUUGGUGGGAAAAAAAAAUAUUGUUUUUCGAUAUUGUCAAUGGAUAUUAUCGGACAAUAAAUUGGAUUUUAUUUUUGAGGAAGUGAUGAAUAUUUUUGUAGUAAUCAAUAGUAUAAUUUUUCUUGUAUCAAGCGGACUGUUCUUUUUGUAGGUC